CAGUCGCCGCGGGAAUACGAAGGGGGCUAGCGUUGUUCGGAAUUACUGGGCGUAAAGCGCACGUAGGCGGAUAUUUAAGUCAGGGGUGAAAUCCCGCAGCUCAACUGCGAAACUGCCUUUGAUACUGGGUAUCUUGAGUAUGGAAGAGGUUAGUGGAAUUGCGAGUGUAGAGGUGAAAUUCGUAGAUAUUCGCAGGAACACCAGUGGCGAAGGCGGCUAACUGAUCCAUAACUGACGCUGAGGUGCGAAAGCGUGGGGAGCGAACAGGAUUAGAUACCCGCGUAGUCCCUGUCUCUUAUAC
This 301-nucleotide ribosomal RNA is filed under the name uncultured bacterium. Its description in RNAcentral is "partial 16S ribosomal RNA". It matches the Rfam family "Bacterial small subunit ribosomal RNA", at positions 509 to 807 of the family's 1533-position model. The record is from RNAcentral.